UACAGAGGAGCCAAGCGCUGUCCGGAUUGACUGGGCGUAAAGCGCACGCAGGCGGAUGCGCGCGUGGGGUGUGAAAUCUGGCCGCUUAACGGCCAGGCGCCAUCCCAUACGGCGCGUCUGGAGUGAUGCAGAGGUCGAUGGAAUUGCCGGUGUAGUGGUGAAAUGCGUAGAGAUCGGCAGGAACACCCAGGGGGAAACCAGUCGACUGGGCAUCUACUGACGCUGAGGUGCGAGAGCGUGGGGAGCGAACCGG
Molecule: ribosomal RNA, 253 nt
Filed under: uncultured bacterium
Lineage: Bacteria
Description: partial 16S ribosomal RNA
Rfam family: Bacterial small subunit ribosomal RNA
Source: RNAcentral